GUCUCCUUAGCUCAGUUGGUAGAGCAACUGACUCUUAAUCAGUGGGUCGAGGGUUCGAAUCCCCCAGGGGACACCA
Molecule: transfer RNA, 76 nt
Filed under: Desulfomicrobium escambiense
Lineage: Bacteria; Pseudomonadati; Thermodesulfobacteriota; Desulfovibrionia; Desulfovibrionales; Desulfomicrobiaceae
Also listed under: 4 other names
Description: tRNA-Lys
Rfam family: tRNA
About the family: Transfer RNA (tRNA) molecules are approximately 80 nucleotides in length.
Source: RNAcentral